AUGGCGGCCGAACCGGACAAGGACAACCUAAACCAAGAACCGGUUGAGUCCAGCGCCGCCGCGUCCUCCUCGCCCUCCGCCAAUGGGGAGCCGCGCACUGCGUCCUGCUCCUCGCCCUCCGCCAGUGGGGCGCCCCGCGCCGCGGCAGCCGAUGCCGGAGAGGAUGAGCUCUCCUCUCGGCCACCUCCCGCUACCCUGCGCGUCGGAAGCUGCACCACCCUGCUGCAAAUCCGCGAGAAGCCCGGAGACGGAGACGGAAGCAGCGGUGGCACGGGCGGGCCGAGCUCCGCGGCGGCGGCGGCUGCGUACCAAAAGGGCAAGAAUCUCGCAAUUUACUCCCCGCCACACCCCUGUUCGAGCUCUGGCAGCAGUUCUUCCUGCGGGGCCGAGGUCGACUCAUCUGUCUCCAGGAACGCAGUUAGUCGAUGGGAGGAUACAGAGAAGCAGAGUUUUGGAAGAAAAGAAAGGAGGAUAACUGGUGCAUAUGUGAAUUGGCAGACGAUUCCAAUGAAUGAAGCUCUUGAGCAUUAUUACAGUGAUCCAGUUGAUCAGUCUAUGUCAGGACAGGGUUAUUUGAAUGUGAUGAACCUUCAGGAGGCCUACUCAGAAUUUAGGCCAGUCCGUGGAGAUGGAGAUUGUUUCUACAGGAGCUUCAUAUUUUCCUACCUUGAGCAAGUUCUUGAUAGGCAGGAUACAUGUGAGGAGGACCGUGUCCUUGAUGUCAUUGAAAGAGUAGCUAGUAGAUAUGCACAUCUGACAUGGACCUCCAGAUUUUCUGUGAGCCGCAAAGCAUUUGAGAAGCUGAUAAAAAACGUAAUGAAAUGGAAGAGACAGAGGGAUACCUCAGCGUCAAGUAGCAGAUUAGUAGCAGCUGUCUGGAUAUGCUCGCACAGUGACUACUUCGAGCCUUUAAUAGCUGAUCUGGGAGAAACUUAUAAUCUGCAAGAUUGGUGCUUUCAAAAUGUCAUUCCAUGUGGUGAGUGGGCAGAUCAUCUUGCAGUAAUGGCUUUGGCAACAGCCCUAGAGAUACCACUAAGAGUGAAGCAUCUGAAUGGUGGACCUGCUCAAGAUAUCUACACUGGUCAGGGAGUUCCUGCUGUUCAUGUGAUCUUGUUAUUAUACUCGGGGAAUUAUCAUGACAUCAUCUAUCCAGUCCGUUCAUCUUCUGAGACACUGUCAGUGCCCGGCACAACAAGUGAUUCCCAGUGCCAGUCCUACGAGGAAGUCGGGACAGCAUUGCUGCCCAGCGCGGCACGAGGCCUCACAUGCCAGGCGCUGCCAGGCACAGCAGGCGCUGUCCCGAUGCUAAUCCGCACAGUCUGGCAUGAAAAUUCUGAGGAAGAGCUGGAGGGGCUUCGGCUACUUCUGCAACAGGGAAGUGUCACAGUUGCACUGGACAUGGAAUUUAUGAGUACAGCAGGGAACCAAGUUCGCCCAGGAACAAUGACUAAGUGUAAAGCCCUCCCCAUGGGACAUGCCAAUCUUCUGGAAAUCGAGGUUUGGCGUGACAAUUUUGAUGGAGAAGCAUCUGUUAUUGCACAAGCAGUGCAAAGCAACUACUAUAUUGUGGGAGUAGAUGUUUGCUUUAGUCCAGCACUAGGUCACAGGCUCUUCCAUGAACAUUUGCAAGGUUGUUUUGAGCUCAUGGUUGAGGCACUCACUGCUGUGGGACACUAUGAAAUCUCGCUAGCUCUUGUCAGCUACACUGGGCAACUUCCAAAGGGAAGGUGGUGGAGAUUCCACGUAUCUGAGUGCAUUAACACUGAUGCCGCCCGGUACAUUCACUUUCCAAGAUUUGUUGAACUCCUUCACAGAUGCAGCCUGAUUAAUGAUGAAAGAAUAAUAUGGGCCACCUAUGAGGGAGCAGAAUGCAUUGCAAGCCUCUGUCGUAUGGUGCAGCGCAGAGGCACCCAAACAGGUAUACCAUUGACAGUGUGUGGGUACCUACAGUGUCGGAGCUCCAUAUUCCCUUCACUAUAUGAUAUUGGUCUGCUGGUGUCUCGGGAAAAAGGAAAUGCUUUGGCUGACAUUGCUCGUCGAUUGGGCUUGUCUGUCCCUGGCAACCAGUCUGGCUGGAAUGCUGUUUUGAGUGCGCAGGUUAUGGUUCGGCUGAGAGAACAGUUGGAGGAGUUGGAUGCCCUUCUCCUGGCCUAUAAAGAUCACCACGGGAAACUGUUAGCCAGAUGA
Molecule: ribosomal RNA, 2187 nt
Filed under: Triticum aestivum (bread wheat)
Lineage: Eukaryota; Viridiplantae; Streptophyta; Magnoliopsida; Poales; Poaceae
Description: partial small subunit ribosomal RNA
Source: RNAcentral